Molecule: ribosomal RNA, 386 nt
Filed under: uncultured bacterium
Lineage: Bacteria
Description: bacterial SSU rRNA
Rfam family: Bacterial small subunit ribosomal RNA
Source: RNAcentral
AACGCGAAGAACCUUACCAGGUCUUGACAUCCCGAUGCCCGCUCUAGAGAUAGAGUUUUACUUCGGUACAUCGGUGACAGGUGGUGCAUGGUUGUCGUCAGCUCGUGUCGUGAGAUGUUGGGUUAAGUCCCGCAACGAGCGCAACCCCUAUUGUUAGUUGCCAUCAUUCAGUUGGGCACUCUAGCGAGACUGCCGGUAAUAAACCGGAGGAAGGUGGGGAUGACGUCAAAUCAUCAUGCCCCUUAUGACCUGGGCUACACACGUGCUACAAUGGCUGGUACAACGAGUCGCAAGUCGGUGACGACAAGCUAAUCUCUUAAAGCCAGUCUCAGUUCGGAUUGUAGGCUGCAACUCGCCUACAUGAAGUCGGAAUCGCUAGUAAUCGC